UACGAAGGGGGCUAGCGUUGUCCGGAUUUACUGGGCGUAAAGGAUGCGUAGGCGGACAUUUAAGUCAGAUGUGAAAUACCCGAGCUUAACUUGGGUGCUGCAUUUGAAACUGGGUGUCUAGAGUGCAGGAGAGGUAAGUGGAAUUCCUAGUGUAGCGGUGAAAUGCGUAGAGAUUAGGAAGAACACCAGUGGCGAAGGCGACUUACUGGACUGUAACUGACGCUGAGGCAUGAAAGCUAGGGGAGCAAACAGG
This 253-nucleotide ribosomal RNA is filed under the name uncultured bacterium. RNAcentral's name for it is "partial 16S ribosomal RNA". It matches the Rfam family "Bacterial small subunit ribosomal RNA", at positions 524 to 776 of the family's 1533-position model. The record is from RNAcentral.